GCUGGGCUUGGUGGUAUGCAAUUGUAGCCCCACCUACUCAGGAGGCCGAGGCAGGAGGAUUAGUUGAGCCCAGGAGUCCUGGGAUGUAGGGUGCUAUGCUGAUCAGGUGUCUGCAUAAGCUUGCUUCCAAUAUGGUAAACUCCCUGGACUGGGGGACCACCAGGUACCCAAAGGAGGGGUGAACUGGCCCAGGCUGGAAAUAGAGCAGGUCAAAACUCCUCUGCUGAUACAGUUUGGCUCUGAAUUCCCACCCAAAUCUCAUGUCAAAUUGUAAUCCCCAGUGUCG
RNAcentral lists this signal recognition particle RNA (286 nucleotides) under Piliocolobus tephrosceles (Ugandan red Colobus). RNAcentral describes it as "Metazoan signal recognition particle RNA (ENSPTEG00000035484.1)". It matches the Rfam family "Metazoan signal recognition particle RNA". From Rfam's summary of the family: The signal recognition particle (SRP) is a universally conserved ribonucleoprotein. It is involved in the co-translational targeting of proteins to membranes. Lineage: Eukaryota; Metazoa; Chordata; Mammalia; Primates; Cercopithecidae. The record is from RNAcentral.